UCCCUGGCGGUCCAGUUGUUAGAGCUUGGCACUUUCACUGCCAUGGCCCAGGUUCAGUCCCUGGUCAGGGUA
Molecule: transfer RNA, 72 nt
Organism: Ovis aries (sheep)
Lineage: Eukaryota; Metazoa; Chordata; Mammalia; Artiodactyla; Bovidae
Rfam family: tRNA
About the family: Transfer RNA (tRNA) molecules are approximately 80 nucleotides in length. Their secondary structure includes four short double-helical elements and three loops (D, anti-codon, and T loops).
Source: Rfam